This 393-nucleotide ribosomal RNA is filed under the name uncultured bacterium. RNAcentral describes it as "bacterial SSU rRNA". It matches the Rfam family "Bacterial small subunit ribosomal RNA", at positions 30 to 429 of the family's 1533-position model. The record is from RNAcentral.
AUUGAACGCUGGCGGAAUGCUUUACACAUGCAAGUCGAACGGCAGCACGGGGCAACCUGGUGGCGAGUGGCGAACGGGUGAGUAAUACAUCGGAACGUGCCCAAUCGUGGGGGAUAACGUAGCGAAAGUUACGCUAAUACCGCAUACGAUCUACGGAUGAAAGCGGGGGAUCGCAAGACCUCGCGCGAAUGGAGCGGCCGAUGUCAGAUUAGGUAGUUGGUGGGGUAAAGGCUCACCAAGCCAACGAUCUGUAGCUGGUCUGAGAGGACGACCAGCCACACUGGAACUGAGACACGGUCCAGACUCCUACGGGAGGCAGCAGUGGGAAUUUGGACAAUGGGCGCAAGCCUGAUCCAGCCAUUCCGCGUGCAGGAUGAAGGCCUCGGUUGUAAC